GCCUGGUUGGCCAAGUGGUAAGGCGUCGCACUUGUAUGCAAGAAUCAAUUUCUUAAUCGCAAUGCGAAGAUCGCUCGUUCGAUUCGGGUACUAGGCA
This is a non-coding RNA of Plenodomus tracheiphilus IPT5, 97 nucleotides long. NCBI's taxonomy places the organism in Eukaryota, Fungi, Ascomycota, Dothideomycetes, Pleosporales, Leptosphaeriaceae. The record is from the annotation of a GenBank genome assembly.